RNAcentral lists this ribosomal RNA (679 nucleotides) under Salmonella enterica subsp. enterica serovar Anatum. RNAcentral describes it as "partial 23S ribosomal RNA". It matches the Rfam family "Bacterial large subunit ribosomal RNA", at positions 1084 to 1681 of the family's 2925-position model. Lineage: Bacteria; Pseudomonadati; Pseudomonadota; Gammaproteobacteria; Enterobacterales; Enterobacteriaceae. The record is from RNAcentral.
CCCAGACAGCCAGGAUGUUGGCUUAGAAGCAGCCAUCAUUUAAAGAAAGCGUAAUAGCUCACUGGUCGAGUCGGCCUGCGCGGAAGAUGUAACGGGGCUAAACCAUGCACCGAAGCUGCGGCAGCGAACGUAUCACUUAAAGCGAUUCAGCGGGUUACGAUUGACGGAGCGAAGCGACGUCAAAGCGUAUACAAAGUCGAGUCGGUUUAAGGAUACGUUCGUUGGGUAGGGGAGCGUUCUGUAAGCCUGUGAAGGUGGCCUGUGAGGGUUGCUGGAGGUAUCAGAAGUGCGAAUGCUGACAUAAGUAACGAUAAAGCGGGUGAAAAGCCCGCUCGCCGGAAGACCAAGGGUUCCUGUCCAACGUUAAUCGGGGCAGGGUGAGUCGACCCCUAAGGCGAGGCCGAAAGGCGUAGUCGAUGGGAAACAGGUUAAUAUUCCUGUACUUGGUGUUACUGCGAAGGGGGGACGGAGAAGGCUAUGUUGGCCGGGCGACGGUUGUCCCGGUUUAAGCGUGUAGGUGUGUGUUCCAGGUAAAUCCGGUUCACUUUAACACUGAGGCGUGAUGACGAGGCACUACGGUGCUGAAGCAACAAAUGCCCUGCUUCCAGGAAAAGCCUCUAAGCAUCAGGUAACAUCAAAUCGUACCCCAAACCGACACAGGUGGUCAGGUAGAGAAUAC